AUUGUAGUUCAAUUGGUCAGAGCACCGCCCUGUCAAGGCGGAAGCUGCGGGAUCCGUUUUUCGAGUCCAUGAUAUAAUA
RNAcentral lists this transfer RNA (79 nucleotides) under Hordeum vulgare. RNAcentral describes it as "tRNA-OTHER". Lineage: Eukaryota; Viridiplantae; Streptophyta; Magnoliopsida; Poales; Poaceae. The record is from RNAcentral.